AAUCACCCCCAAUGGAAAUUGAACCCGGUUCCAGAUUUCUUAGGGGAGCCACCAAUGGGGAAUUUUUGCACAAUGGGGCCCAAACUUAGAUGCAACCCAUGCCCGGUUGUAUGAAGAAGGCCUUUGGGGUUAAAAAGUUAUUUUCAGUUUGUAAGGAAGGGGGGUAGGUUUAAAAAGCGUUAUUUUCUGGACGUUAGCAACAAGAAGAAGCACCGGGCUAACUCCCGUCCCAGCAGCCGCGGUAAUACGGAGGGUGCGAGCGUUAAUCGGAAUUACUGGGCGUAAAGCGCAUGCAGGUGGUUCAUUAAGUCAGAUGUGAAAGCCCGGGGCUCAACCUCGGAACUGCAUUUGAAACUGGUGAACUAGAGUACUGUAGAGGGGGGUAGAAUUUCAGGUGUAGCGGUGAAAUGCGUAGAGAUCUGAAGGAAUACCAGUGGCGAAGGCGGCCCCCUGGACAGAUACUGACACUCAGAUGCGAAAGCGUGGGGAGCAAACAGGAUUAGAUACCCUGGUAGUCCACGCCGUAAACGAUGUCUACUUGGAGGUUGUGGCCUUGAGCCGUGGCUUUCGGAGCUAACGCGUUAAGUAGACCGCCUGGGGAGUACGGUCGCAAGAUUAAAACUCAAAUGAAUUGACGGGGGCCCGCACAAGCGGUGGAGCAUGUGGUUUAAUUCGAUGCAACGCGAAGAACCUUACCUACUCUUGACAUCCAGAGAAUCCAGCGGAGACGCAGGAGUGCCUUCGGGAGCUCUGAGACAGGUGCUGCAUGGCUGUCGUCAGCUCGUGUUGUGAAAUGUUGGGUUAAGUCCCGCAACGAGCGCAACCCUUAUCCUUGUUUGCCAGCGAGUCAUGUCGGGAACUCCAGGGAGACUGCCGGUGAUAAACCGGAGGAAGGUGGGGACGACGUCAAGUCAUCAUGGCCCUUACGAGUAGGGCUACACACGUGCUACAAUGGCGCAUACAGAGGGCAGCGAGCCAGCGAUGGUAAGCGAAUCCCAAAAAGUGCGUCGUAGUCCGGAUUGGAGUCUGCAACUCGACUCCAUGAAGUCGGAAUCGCUAGUAAUCGUGAAUCAGAAUGUCACGGUGAAUACGUUCCCGGGCCUUGUACACACCGCCCGUCACACCAUGGGAGUGGGCUGCAAAAGAAGUAGGUAGUCUAACCUUCGGGAGGACGCUUACCACUUUGUGGUUCAUGACUGGGGUGAAGUCGUAACAAGGUAACCGUA
RNAcentral lists this ribosomal RNA (1226 nucleotides) under uncultured bacterium. RNAcentral's name for it is "bacterial SSU rRNA". It matches the Rfam family "Bacterial small subunit ribosomal RNA", at positions 302 to 1504 of the family's 1533-position model. The record is from RNAcentral.